Molecule: ribosomal RNA, 368 nt
Filed under: uncultured bacterium
Lineage: Bacteria
Description: bacterial SSU rRNA
Rfam family: Bacterial small subunit ribosomal RNA
Source: RNAcentral
AGAGUUUGAUCCUGGCUCAGGACGAACGCUGGCGGCGUGCUUAACACAUGCAAGUCGAACGAAGAGCGACGGAAGCUUGCUUCUAUCAAUCUUAGUGGCGAACGGGUGAGUAACGCGUAAUCAACCUGCCCUUCAGAGGGGGACAACAGUUGGAAACGACUGCUAAUACCGCAUACGAUCUAAUCUCGGCAUCGAGGAUGGAUGAAAGGUGGCCUCUACAUGUAAGCUAUCACUGAAGGAGGGGAUUGCGUCUGAUUAGCUUGUUGGCGGGGUAACGGCCCACCAAGGCAACGAUCAGUAGGGGUUCUGAGAGGAAGGUCCCCCACAUUGGAACUGAGACACGGUCCAAACUCCUACGGGAGGCAGCA